GGCCUGGUGGUGUAGUGGUUACACGUCCUCAUAUAGUGAGGCAGAAUGUGUCAUUGAGAGGAAGUUCCCGGUUCGACUCCGGGUUAGGCCU
This is a non-coding RNA of Mycena epipterygia, 91 nucleotides long. The record is from the annotation of a GenBank genome assembly. Lineage: Eukaryota; Fungi; Basidiomycota; Agaricomycetes; Agaricales; Mycenaceae.